This 209-nucleotide long non-coding RNA is filed under the name Carica papaya (papaya). RNAcentral's name for it is "long non-coding RNA (CPAP_LNC014851)". Lineage: Eukaryota; Viridiplantae; Streptophyta; Magnoliopsida; Brassicales; Caricaceae. The record is from RNAcentral.
ACACAUAUUCAUUCUAUUGGGCAAGACUAUAUAAAUCUCAAGGCCAACAGACCACACAUUGUAAACACUGGAUGAGCAAUGGUAGCCCUUAUUGAAUUCAAGCAAGUAUGUUUUGUUAUGUCCGCGGAAGUAUGAAUUAGAUAUUGUUACAAAAACUAGCUUAGGUCAACCUAAUUUAUUAGUUCUCAGUUUUUGACCGAGUCAACCCA